AGAGAGAGAGAGAGAGAGAGAGUUUUCCUUCGACGUUUCAUAAUUAUUCCUCGAUUUUGUUCUCGUGUUUCGCAUUCCUAAUUGUAACGCUGAUUUUUUUUUCUCUCGUUUUCUUGCAGGUAAGCUUUGUGGCAUAGAAAACGGAGAACAUGGAGAAAGUAAUCCAUCCAGGCCCAGUGAUCAGCGCGGCACACAGUAAGGUCACGUGAUCGCUGGUGGGUGUGACGUCAUGCAGGUGAGACACACACAGGUGGGAUCAGAAACCGUCACGUGUUUUCACUUAAAUUACUAAAAGGGAAAGGAAUAACAAAAAUAGAGAAGGAAAAUUAAAUAUGAGCGUGGGAAAAAUACAUGACGAUAACAAAGAAGACGAUAAUUGUGAUGAUAAUGGAUAAAUACCGUGGGAGUUCUUAUACAUUUCUUUCUUUCUUUCUUUCUUUCUUUCUUAGCUCAGUUUCUUUAAGAUGUUUAUAAAUUGACUUUCCUCUAACUUCACAAUGUCAUCUAAUUACCUCAUUCUUUGCAUCUAACCCUGCCACUAUGUCUCUUUUCUCCCUGACUGACCCUCCCUGCCCCUGCCAUCCUUAUACAGCCUUUAUUCCUUGUUCCCUUUCCCCUGUAGCCUUGUCAAACACCAUUCUUUUGUUUUUUAUCUUUCUAACCCUGCCACUAUGUCUCUUUUCUCCCUGCCUGACCCUCCCUGCCCCUGCCAUCCUUACAUCCUCUAUUCCUUGCUCCCUUUCCCCUGUAGCCUUGUCAAUCAUCAUUCUUUUACUUUUUCUUUCCCUAAUCCUUUCCCCUGUCACGUCUAUGCUCUCCCUGCCUGAACCUAUCUGCCCCUGCCAUCUUUACAUCAUCUAUUCCUUACUCCCUUUCCCCUGUAGCCUUGUCAAUCCUACACAUUUAUCUCCCUGUUUCCGUGGUCCUGUUUUCUUUUUCUUUUUUCAACCCUGUCUUUCUUAUAUCCUCCCUGCUCCUCUUCCUCUCCCUUUCAACUCCCUACCACUUCCUCAGCCCUUUAUCUCCCUGCCUCUCUUCCUCCCCUGUCUUUCUUCCUCUGUCUCUUCCCUCUAUCCCUUUCUUCAGUAUC
Portunus trituberculatus (swimming crab) is the source of this 1090-nucleotide long non-coding RNA. RefSeq lists it as uncharacterized. The transcript has 3 exons. NCBI's taxonomy places the organism in Eukaryota, Metazoa, Arthropoda, Malacostraca, Decapoda, Portunidae. The record is from RefSeq and is a predicted model, not a curated record.